This 484-nucleotide ribosomal RNA is filed under the name uncultured bacterium. RNAcentral's name for it is "partial 16S ribosomal RNA". It matches the Rfam family "Bacterial small subunit ribosomal RNA", at positions 30 to 507 of the family's 1533-position model. The record is from RNAcentral.
AUUGAACGCUGGCGGCAGGCCUAACACAUGCAAGUCGAGCGGAUGAAGGGAGCUUGCUCCUGGAUUCAGCGGCGGACGGGUGAGUAAUGCCUAGGAAUCUGCCUGGUAGUGGGGGAUAACGUCCGGAAACGGGCGCUAAUACCGCAUACGUCCUGAGGGAGAAAGUGGGGGAUCUUCGGACCUCACGCUAUCAGAUGAGCCUAGGUCGGAUUAGCUAGUUGGUGGGGUAAAGGCCUACCAAGGCGACGAUCCGUAACUGGUCUGAGAGGAUGAUCAGUCACACUGGAACUGAGACACGGUCCAGACUCCUACGGGAGGCAGCAGUGGGGAAUAUUGGGCAAUGGGCGAAAGCCUGAUCCAGCCAAGCCGCGUGUGUGAAGAAGGUCUUCGGAUUGUAAAGCACUUUAAGUUGGGAGGAAGGGCAGUAAGUUAAUACCUUGCUGUUUUGACGUUACCAACAGAAUAAGCACCGGCUAACUUCGUG